UUAUGUGCCUUCGGGAACCGUGAGACAGGUGCUGCAUGGCUGUCGUCAGCUCGUGUUGUGAAAUGUUGGGUUAAGUCCCGCAACGAGCGCAACCCUUAUCCUUUGUUGCCAGCGGUCCGGCCGGGAACUCAAAGGAGACUGCCAGUGAUAAACUGGAGGAAGGUGGGGAUGACGUCAAGUCAUCAUGGCCCUUACGACCAGGGCUACACACGUGCUACAAUGGCGCAUACAAAGAGAAGCGACCUCGCGAGAGCAAGCGGACCUCAUAAAGUGCGUCGUAGUCCGGAUUGGAGUCUGCAACUCGACUCCAUGAAGUCGGAAUCGCUAGUAAUCGUGGAUCAGAAUGCCACGGUGAUUACGUUCCCGG
RNAcentral lists this ribosomal RNA (367 nucleotides) under Escherichia sp. CAR47. RNAcentral describes it as "bacterial SSU rRNA". It matches the Rfam family "Bacterial small subunit ribosomal RNA", at positions 1010 to 1377 of the family's 1533-position model. Lineage: Bacteria; Pseudomonadati; Pseudomonadota; Gammaproteobacteria; Enterobacterales; Enterobacteriaceae. The record is from RNAcentral.